RNAcentral lists this ribosomal RNA (575 nucleotides) under uncultured bacterium. RNAcentral's name for it is "partial 16S ribosomal RNA". It matches the Rfam family "Bacterial small subunit ribosomal RNA", at positions 355 to 921 of the family's 1533-position model. The record is from RNAcentral.
UGGGGAAUUUUGGACAAUGGGCGCAAGCCUGAUCCAGCCAUGCCGCGUGCGGGAAGAAGGCCUUCGGGUUGUAAACCGCUUUUGUCAGGGAAGAAAUCUUCUGAGUUAAUACCUCGGGAGGAUGACGGUACCUGAAGAAUAAGCACCGGCUAACUACGUGCCAGCAGCCGCGGUAAUACGUAGGGUGCAAGCGUUAAUCGGAAUUACUGGGCGUAAAGCGUGCGCAGGCGGUUUUGUAAGACAGAGGUGAAAUCCCCGGGCUCAACCUGGGAACUGCCUUUGUGACUGCAAGGCUUGAGUGCGGCAGAGGGGGGAUGGAAUUCCGCGUGUAGCAGUGAAAUGCGUAGAUAUGCGGAGGAACACCGAUGGCGAAGGCAAUCCCCUGGGCCUGCACUGACGCUCAUGCACGAAAGCGUGGGGAGCAAACAGGAUUAGAUAGCCCUGGUAGUCCACGCCCUAAACGAUGUCAACUGGUUGUUGGGAAGGUUCCUUCUCAGUAACGUAGCUAACGCGUGAAGUUGACCGCCUGGGGAGUACGGCCGCAAGGUUGAAACUUAAAUGAAUUGACGGGGUCA